Molecule: ribosomal RNA, 498 nt
Filed under: Aeromonas sp. 01WB04.4-95
Lineage: Bacteria; Pseudomonadati; Pseudomonadota; Gammaproteobacteria; Aeromonadales; Aeromonadaceae
Description: bacterial SSU rRNA
Rfam family: Bacterial small subunit ribosomal RNA
Source: RNAcentral
CCAUGGCUCAGAUUGAACGCUGGCGGCAGGCCUAACACAUGCAAGUCGAGCGGCAGCGGGAAAGUAGCUUGCUACUUUUGCCGGCGAGCGGCGGACGGGUGAGUAAUGCCUGGGGAUCUGCCCAGUCGAGGGGGAUAACAGUUGGAAACGACUGCUAAUACCGCAUACGCCCUACGGGGGAAAGGAGGGGACCUUCGGGCCUUUCGCGAUUGGAUGAACCCAGGUGGGAUUAGCUAGUUGGUGGGGUAAUGGCUCACCAAGGCGACGAUCCCUAGCUGGUCUGAGAGGAUGAUCAGCCACACUGGAACUGAGACACGGUCCAGACUCCUACGGGAGGCAGCAGUGGGGAAUAUUGCACAAUGGGGGAAACCCUGAUGCAGCCAUGCCGCGUGUGUGAAGAAGGCCUUCGGGUUGUAAAGCACUUUCAGCGAGGAGGAAAGGUUGGUGCCUAAUACGUAUCAGCUGUGACGUUACUCGCAGAAGAAGCACCGGCUAACU